CACGUAGGGGGCGAGCGUUGUCCGGAUUUAUUGGGCGUAAAGAGCUCGUAGGCGGCUUGGUAAGUCGGGUGUGAAACCUCCAGGCUCAACCUGGAGACGCCACUCGAUACUGCCAUGGCUAGAGUCCGGUAGGGGAGCGUGGAAUUCCUGGUGUAGCGGUGAAAUGCGCAGAUAUCAGGAGGAACACCAGCGGCGAAGGCGGCCCACUGGCUCGACACUGACGCUGAGGUGCGAAAGCGUGGGGAGCAAACAGG
RNAcentral lists this ribosomal RNA (254 nucleotides) under uncultured bacterium. RNAcentral's name for it is "partial 16S ribosomal RNA". It matches the Rfam family "Bacterial small subunit ribosomal RNA", at positions 524 to 776 of the family's 1533-position model. The record is from RNAcentral.